RNA transcript from Tympanuchus pallidicinctus (lesser prairie-chicken), 2766 nucleotides. It is a transcript of the gene named SET and MYND domain containing 2, with no coding region annotated. The record is from RefSeq and is a predicted model, not a curated record. NCBI's taxonomy places the organism in Eukaryota, Metazoa, Chordata, Aves, Galliformes, Phasianidae. The transcript is spliced from 14 exons.
AGGCGCUCCCCUGGCGCCCGCUGCCGGUGUUAGGUGGGCCGAGCCCCGCCGGCGAACCCGGGGCCCCGCCGGCGUUGCCCCUUCGCCUGCAGAGGGAUGCGCUCGGAGGCGGUGCCGCAGCGCGGCGGCCUGGAGAGGUUCGCCAGUCCCGGCAAGGGCCGGGGCCUGCGGGCUCUGAGGCGCUACGCCGUGGGAGAGCUGCUCUUCAGCUGCCCGGCCUACACCGCCGUGCUGACCGUCAGCGAGCGCGGCGGCCACUGCGACGGCUGCUUCGCCAGGAAAGAAGGACUAUCCAAGUGUGGAAGAUGUAAGCAGGCCUUUUACUGCGAUGUGGAAUGUCAGAAGGAAGACUGGCCAAUGCAUAAGCUAGAAUGUUCCGCCAUGUGUGCUUUUGGGCAGAGCUGGAAUCCCUCGGAGACAGUGAGGCUAACGGCGAGGAUCCUUGCCAAACAGAAAAUUCACCCUGAGAGAACACAGUCAGAGAAGCUGCUUGCUGUGAAAGAAUUUGAAUCACACCUUGACAAACUAGACAAUGAAAAGAGAGAGCUGAUUCAGAACGACAUUGCUGCUCUUCAUCACUUUUAUUCAAAGCACAUGGAGUACCCUGACAAUGCUGCUCUUGUAGUUCUCUUUGCACAAGUUAACUGCAAUGGUUUCACGAUUGAAGAUGAAGAACUGUCUCAUUUGGGAUCAGCCAUAUUUCCUGAUGUUGCACUGAUGAACCAUAGCUGUUGCCCAAAUGUGAUCGUAACUUACAAAGGGACAGUGGCUGAAGUAAGAGCUGUGAAAGAGAUUGAGCCUGGAGAAGAGGUUUUUACCAGCUAUAUUGACCUGUUGUAUCCCACAGAAGACAGGAAUGACAGGUUAAGAGACUCCUAUUUUUUCACUUGUGAUUGCAGGGAGUGCACUAUGAAGGAAAAGGAUAAAGAGAAACUGAAAAUCCGCAAGCUGAAUGAUCCUCCAUCAGCAGAGGCGGUACGAGACAUGAUCAAAUAUGCCAGGAACGUGAUAGAGGAAUUCAGACGAGCCAAACACUACAAAUCUCCCAGUGAAUUACUGGAGAUCUGUGAGCUCAGCCUGGAUAAGAUGGGUGCAGUGUUUGAAGACAGCAAUGUCUACAUGUUACAUAUGAUGUACCAGGCCAUGGGUGUCUGUCUGUACGUGCAGGAUUGGGAAGGUGCACUGCGUUAUGGGCAAAAAAUUAUCAGACCAUACAGUAAGCAUUAUCCCUCCUACUCGCUGAACGUUGCCUCCAUGUGGCUGAAAUUAGGGAGACUGUACGUGGCACUGGAGAACAGACCAGCUGGAGAGAAAGCCCUGAAGAAGGCAAUUGCCAUCAUGGAAGUAGCACACGGGAAAGAUCAUCCAUACAUUUCAGAGAUCAAAAAGGAAUUAGAGGACCACUGAGCCUUUGAAUCUAUGCAAUCCUUCAAACCUUUAUUUAAAAAGCCUUGUUAUGGAAACCUUCAGGAGCGCUUUGAAAAGCGUGACUUAGCUGAGAGAAAGGAGAAAAAGGGCCGAUGAAUUCUGUGCGUCGUAUAGGAAAGCCACCACCUUUCCCUCAGCAGUUCAGCUGCAGGUCCAUCACUGCUCCUAGCAGCAGGUCCAAGCAGAGCACUGGCAGGAGGUUGUAGCAAGGAAAGGAGAAAGGAGUCAGCACGACGAGGGGAGCAACCUCAGUGCAGGAACUUCUCUGUCCGUCUCAUGCAGCAUAAGUAACAAGGUGGGAAUUACGUCAUGACUUGUUAAGGCUAUUUUUUUUUUUUUUUUUAAUACGGUUCCUGUUGCUUCUAAAUAACUGUUAAGUACUUGCUACCAUGCAUAUGCUGCAAGGUAAUUCAUAAUGUGAUUUGCUCCAAUGAAAUAAACAGUCUGGAGAAAGGAUCGUGCACAAAGUUGUGCAACACAGCUGGUGAAUACUGACGGACAGAAGAGGAGAAAGAGCAGAGUAUGGGCCUGGCCAGUGAAAUACUUGCAGGACGUGAAUUUUUUUCUUAGCUCUACCAUAAACUUCACUUUUGGGCCAGGGCAAGCCAUUUAAGAACCUGUAAUCUAGCUAUGAAGUAGAUGAGUACAUUUGUUUCCCUUUUCUGUUCUGAACUUCAGGCAAGGACUGUUAGUCCAUUAUGUACUCAUCCAGUGUCUGGUACAACAGACUCCUAAUCUUAACUGGAAACCCUGAACACUACCAGGAUAAAAGAGUAAUAAUAAAUAGAAGGGAGAACCCAAAUGACAAGUAGUGUUGAAACAGCAGCCUGAGAAGAGAGAUGGUUUGUGCAAUUUAAUACAAAAAACACCCUAACAAUACCAAAAAACUGCUUGGUACAUGCACAAAUCACAAGAUGGUGAUGGGGAAACAAUCAAGGCAGACUCUAACCUAAAGCCCUCAACAGUCACUGCUGGACAGAAUAAAAACAGUAUUGAUCAUUUUUACAAAGGUCAGUGGACUAGAAAAUACAACAACUACAGCAAGGAAACCACAGGAAACAAAGACACGUGACUGGAGAUGUCCAAUUUGAAUUUGAUUCCUUUUCCACACAAGGUGACCAUCAAGGCAAUAAAAGUUUCUGUGCAAUUCGUAAAAGAUGCUUCAUCUAAUACAUAUAUUUUUUUUCAGCUGCAUGUAGUUGAAACCCCUCUACUGCUCAACCCAUAUCUACAGGAAAGAUGCAAGUCUCACCCUGCUCUUGGUCAGUUUUCUAAUACUGCUUCAACUCUUACACAAAUCCCUUGAAGGACCACAAAUAGCAAAGGCUUAAUUUAAAA